UUUUUUGCGGAGAGUUUGAUCCUGGCUCAGGAUGAACGCUGGCGGCGUGCCUAAUACAUGCAAGUCGAACGGGGAGCAAUGCUUCGGCAGAGCUCCUAGUGGCGAACGGGUGAGUAACGCGUUGGUGACCUGCCCCGAAGAGGGGGAUAACAGUUCGAAAGGGCUGCUAAUACCCCAUGUGGUCGUGGAGACUAGAUGCUCUACGUCUAAAGGAGCAAUCCGCUUCGGGAGGGGCCUGCGUCCCAUCAGCUAGUUGGUAGGGUAAUGGCCUACCAAGGCGAUGACGGGUAGGGGACCUGAGAGGGUGACCCCCCACACUGGCACUGAAACACGGGCCAGACACCUACGGGUGGCAGCAGUAGGGAAUAUUGCACAAUGGGCGAAAGCCUGAUGCAGCAACGCCGCGUGAGCGAAGAAGGCCUUCGGGUCGUAAAGCGCUUUUCUGGAGGAAGAGAAAGGACGGUACUCCAGGAAUAAGGAUCGGCUAACUACGUGCCAGCAGCCGCGGUAACACGUAGGAUUCAAGCGUUAUCCGAAUUUACUGGGCGUAAAGCGCGUGUCGGCGGUUCGGCAAGUUGGACGUGAAAGCUCCUGGCUCAACUGGGAGAGGCCGUUCAAAACUGCCGGGCUAGAGGACGGUAGAGGGAGGUGGAAUUCCCGGUGUAGUGGUGAAAUGCGUAGAUAUCGGGAGGAACACCAGUGGCGAAGGCGGCCUCCUGGACCGUUCCUGACGCUCAGACGCGAAAGCUAGGGGAGCGAACGGGAUUAGAUACCCCGGUAGUCCUAGCUGU
RNAcentral lists this ribosomal RNA (791 nucleotides) under Anaerolineales bacterium. RNAcentral's name for it is "bacterial SSU rRNA". It matches the Rfam family "Bacterial small subunit ribosomal RNA", at positions 1 to 803 of the family's 1533-position model. The record is from RNAcentral. Lineage: Bacteria; Bacillati; Chloroflexota; Anaerolineae; Anaerolineales.